CGGCAUGGCGGAGUGGAUAACGCUUAGGACUAGUAAUCUUGUGAUCGCUAGCUGCAUGGGUUCAAACCCUGACAGGUGCAAGUCGUUGUUUUGUUGAGCAAGAAACUUUACACUCAUUGCUCAGUACUGGUUGGUUCAAGGAAAGGUUUCGAAAGUGUGUUUAUAAGCUAAUAUAACACAAUCGAACUAAAAUAAAUUCUGUAUAAACCAAUGACAUCCAUUUAUUUACUUUUGGAAUGAACUACAUAAUUUUAAGAUAAGGAGACUUCAAACACACUGGGACCUCACGACGAAUUUGUCGGUUUUUACAUAAUGAAAGAUAAAUGUGUAGGAGCAGACGACAACAUAUACAGAUAUGGUUACCAAUAAAAACGCUGUAUUCUACUUUCAUUUUUAUUGUUUUAUCGGAUUUGUUCUGUUUUAUUCUACCAUACAAGCGGCGAUUUCAACGUGUGUGGAUUUAAGUCCAGACUGUUCGCUCUAUGGCGGGGAUAAAAUUUGCCAUGGAAGCUUUGUGCCAUGGUCAAGCGUUUAUUGUAAACAGACGUGUCAUUUUUGUGCUACGGAUUUGCCAUCUACUGCGUUGUCAUCUACAACGGACGGAACGGCAAACGACGACACAUUCUAACAACGUAUACACACAGCCGCC
Molecule: long non-coding RNA, 649 nt
Organism: Ruditapes philippinarum (Manila clam)
Lineage: Eukaryota; Metazoa; Mollusca; Bivalvia; Venerida; Veneridae
Exons: 3
Source: RefSeq, a predicted model, not a curated record